GAGGUGUCUGGCCACCGUGCUCAGCCUCAUCCGUCUUCUUCUUGGCAGGAGGGGCUGCCUGACCGCUGACCCCCGCUGAGAGCUGCAGCAUCCAUCACAACAUGCUAGGCCGAGGUUUCACUCCACGUUGCAGAGCUGUUUGGAAACUUCGGGUGAAGACCGACACCGGAGGAAAAGGUGGGAAAAGCGGCCGCCUGCAGCAGGAAGCGCCUCCACACCUCACGCCUGUAAUUAGAGACGGAGCGAACGUUUCCAGUGACAGGUAACGGAGCAGAUCGGUUAAUUGCAAAUGAAUGCGCACACCCCCGUCUCCAUUAGGCAUAAAUAAUUUGGCCACUUGGGUACGUGCCUCCCAAAUUACUUAUUCUUUUUGUGUCUCAAAUUACCUAUUCUUUCUGAUGUUGCCUUUUAGCUGAUUAGCGAGCUAGCUAGCGCACCACUCGCCCAUUGGCCUUUUCCAGGUUGUUUUUUUUAUUUUUUUAUUAUUUUUCAUAAGGUGAAGAAGUGUUUUGCUUUUGUUUGUGCUCUUUUAUUACAUGCAUGCAUGAUAAUUUAUGCAGUUAUUCCCAACUUUUGCUCUUGCCUCUUCUCUCACACCUUGUAUGAUUCCUUUUUUUUUUUUUUUUUUUGCCGCUCGGGGACGUAGGAUGAAUAUUAAAAUAUUAAAUACAGUGGCCUUAUUGCUUUGUUUUCAUCUGGCACACAUAUAGCCAGUGCAUAUAAGCCACAAAUCUUCCACGUUCAUGAAAGAUUUAUUCUUCCUGCGUGUUUCUAAUAUACAUAAACAUUU
Mugil cephalus (flathead mullet) is the source of this 790-nucleotide long non-coding RNA. RefSeq lists it as uncharacterized. The record is from RefSeq and is a predicted model, not a curated record. Lineage: Eukaryota; Metazoa; Chordata; Actinopteri; Mugiliformes; Mugilidae. The transcript has 3 exons.